GACGAACGCUGGCGGCGUGCCUAAUACAUGCAAGUAGAACGCACAGUUUAUACCGUAGCUUGCUACACCAUAGACUGUGAGUUGCGAACGGGUGAGUAACGCGUAGGUAACCUGCCUGGUAGCGGGGGAUAACUAUUGGAAACGAUAGCUAAUACCGCAUAAUAUUAAUUAUUGCAUGAUAAUUAAUUGAAAGGUGCAAUUGCACCACUACCAGAUGGACCUGCGUUGUAUUAGCUAGUAGGUGGGGUAACGGCUCACCUAGGCGACGAUACAUAGCCGACCUGGGGAGGUGAUCGGCCAAACUGGGACUGGGACACGGCCCAGAAUCCUACGGGAGGCAGCAGGAGGGAAUCUUCGGCAAUGGACGAAAGUCUGACCGAGCAACGCCGCGGGGGUGAAGAAGGUUUUCGGAUCGUAAAGCUCUGUUGUAAGAGAAGAAAGGGUGUGAGAGUGGAAAGUUCACACUGUGACGGUAUCUUACCAGAAAGGGACGGCUAACUACGUG
RNAcentral lists this ribosomal RNA (505 nucleotides) under uncultured bacterium. RNAcentral's name for it is "partial 16S ribosomal RNA". It matches the Rfam family "Bacterial small subunit ribosomal RNA", at positions 28 to 507 of the family's 1533-position model. The record is from RNAcentral.